CUUUUUUUUCAGCAGCUGGCAAAAAUCUGUAGUUAUGAUAGUAGGUUUCGGUUGUGCGCCUGGCGUUGUGGUGUUCUUUUAAAAUGUUAUUGGAUGGUAGAUGGUGGAAAACUACUGAAAUAAAAAUUAAAAUUUAUGAAAUUGAA
Long non-coding RNA from Drosophila biarmipes, 146 nucleotides. RefSeq lists it as uncharacterized. The record is from RefSeq and is a predicted model, not a curated record. The transcript has 2 exons. NCBI's taxonomy places the organism in Eukaryota, Metazoa, Arthropoda, Insecta, Diptera, Drosophilidae.